RNAcentral lists this ribosomal RNA (254 nucleotides) under uncultured bacterium. RNAcentral's name for it is "partial 16S ribosomal RNA". It matches the Rfam family "Bacterial small subunit ribosomal RNA", at positions 524 to 776 of the family's 1533-position model. The record is from RNAcentral.
UACGAAGGGGGCUAGCGUUGUUCGGAAUUACUGGGCGUAAAGCGCGCGCAGGCGGCUAUCCAAGUCAGUGGUGAAAGCCCGGAGCUCAACUCCGGAACUGCCAUUGAAACUGUUUAGCUUGAGGAUGAGAGAGGUGAGUGGAAAUUCCCAGUGUAGAGGUGAAAUUCGUAGAUAUUGGGAAGAACACCGGUGGCGAAGGCGGCUCACUGGCUCAUUACUGACGCUCAGGCGCGAUAGCGUGGGGAUCAAACAGG